This 671-nucleotide ribosomal RNA is filed under the name Salmonella enterica subsp. enterica serovar Infantis. RNAcentral describes it as "partial 23S ribosomal RNA". It matches the Rfam family "Bacterial large subunit ribosomal RNA", at positions 683 to 1269 of the family's 2925-position model. Lineage: Bacteria; Pseudomonadati; Pseudomonadota; Gammaproteobacteria; Enterobacterales; Enterobacteriaceae. The record is from RNAcentral.
CUUAAUUGGGCGUUAAGUUGCAGGGUAUAGACCCGAAACCCGGUGAUCUAGCCAUGGGCAGGUUGAAGGUUGGGUAACACUAACUGGAGGACCGAACCGACUAAUGUUGAAAAAUUAGCGGAUGACCUGUGGCUGGGGGUGAAAGGCCAAUCAAACCGGGAGAUAGCUGGUUCUCCCCGAAAGCUAUUUAGGUAGCGCCUCGUGAAUUCAUCUCCGGGGGUAGAGCACUGUUUCGGCUAGGGGGCCAUCCCGGCUUACCAACCCGAUGCAAACUGCGAAUACCGGAGAAUGUUAUCACGGGAGACACACGGCGGGUGCUAACGUCCGUCGUGAAGAGGGAAACAACCCAGACCGCCAGCUAAGGUCCCAAAGUCAUGGUUAAGUGGGAAACGAUGUGGGAAGGCCCAGACAGCCAGGAUGUUGGCUUAGAAGCAGCCAUCAUUUAAAGAAAGCGUAAUAGCUCACUGGUCGAGUCGGCCUGCGCGGAAGAUGUAACGGGGCUAAACCAUGCACCGAAGCUGCGGCAGCGAACGUAUCACUUAAAGCGAUUCAGCGGGUUACGAUUGACGGAGCGAAGCGACGUCAAAGCGUAUACAAAGUCGAGUCGGUUUAAGGAUACGUUCGUUGGGUAGGGGAGCGUUCUGUAAGCCUGUGAAGGUGUGUCGUGAGGC